This 479-nucleotide ribosomal RNA is filed under the name uncultured bacterium. RNAcentral's name for it is "partial 16S ribosomal RNA". It matches the Rfam family "Bacterial small subunit ribosomal RNA", at positions 28 to 507 of the family's 1533-position model. The record is from RNAcentral.
GAUGAACGCUAGCGGCAGGCCUAACACAUGCAAGUCGAGGGGGAAGUUACUUUCGGGUGACUGAGACCGGCGUACGGGUGCGUAACGCGUAUACAAUCUGCCUUUCACUGGGGGAUAGCCCGAAGAAAUUUGGAUUAAUACCCCAUAGUAUAUAGGGACGGCAUCGUUUUUAUAUUAAAGCUUAGGUGGUGAAAGAUGAGUAUGCGUUCUAUUAGCUAGUUGGAGAGGUAACGGCUCCCCAAGGCGAUGAUAGAUAGGGGUUCUGAGAGGAUGUCCCCCACACUGGUACUGAGAUACGGACCAGACUCCUACGGGAGGCAGCAGUGAGGAAUAUUGGACAAUGGUCGGAAGACUGAUCCAGCCAUGCCGCGUGCAGGAUGAAGGUCUUAUGGAUUGUAAACUGCUUUUGUAAGGGAAGAAUAAGGGCUACGCGUAGUUUGAUGACGGUACCUUACGAAUAAGCAUCGGCUAACUCCGUG